RNAcentral lists this ribosomal RNA (253 nucleotides) under uncultured bacterium. RNAcentral's name for it is "partial 16S ribosomal RNA". It matches the Rfam family "Bacterial small subunit ribosomal RNA", at positions 524 to 776 of the family's 1533-position model. The record is from RNAcentral.
GACAGAGGGUGCAAACGUUGUUCGGAAUUACUGGGCGUAAAGCGCGUGUAGGCUGCUUGGCAAGUCGGAUGUGAAAGCCCUGGGCUCAACCCAGGAAGUGCACUCGAAACUUCCGAGCUCGAGUUCUGGAGAGGAUAGCGGAAUUCUCGGUGUAGAGGUGAAAUUCGUAGAUAUCGAGAGGAACACCGGUGGCGAAGGCGGCUAUCUGGACAGAAACUGACGCUGAGACGCGAAAGCGUGGGGAGCAAACAGG